GACUUAAUACUUUAAAUUAAAAAGAUUUGAUUUGCAUUCAAAAAAUAGAUUUUUAUAAUCUUUAGGUCA
Molecule: transfer RNA, 69 nt
Filed under: Tanea lineata
Lineage: Eukaryota; Metazoa; Mollusca; Gastropoda; Littorinimorpha; Naticidae
Description: tRNA-Ala
Source: RNAcentral